RNAcentral lists this ribosomal RNA (3017 nucleotides) under Thermotoga petrophila RKU-1. RNAcentral's name for it is "bacterial LSU rRNA". It matches the Rfam family "Bacterial large subunit ribosomal RNA". Lineage: Bacteria; Thermotogati; Thermotogota; Thermotogae; Thermotogales; Thermotogaceae. The record is from RNAcentral.
GGUCAAGGUACUAAGGGCACGCGGUGGAUGCCUUGGCGGCGGGAGGCGAUGAAGGGCGUGGCAAGCUGCGAUAAGCCCGGGGGAGCCGCAAGCAGGCGUUGAUCCCGGGAUUCCCGAAUGGGGAAACCUGGGUGGCCGUUGAGGCCACUCGCCGCCGAAAGGCGGUGCGAUACCGGGGGAAGUGAAACAUCUCAGUACCCCGAGGAAAAGAAAUCAACCGAGAUUCCCCUAGUAGCGGCGAGCGAACGGGGAGGAGCCCAAACCAGCGUGGUGUCAAAGCCCGUGGGCGUUGCCACGCUGGGGUUGCGGGACACGGCCGGGCGAGGCCACGGACUCGCCGGGGAGUUACAAAUCCCUCCUCUAGCCGAACCACCUGGGAAGGUGGGCCGGAGAGGGUGACAGCCCCGUAGGCGAAAGGGGAGGGACUCCCUGGGCCGUGCUCCCGAGUACCGCGGGACACGUGGAAUCCCGUGGGAAGCUGGGGGGACCACCCUCCAAGGCUAAAUACUACCCGCCGUCCGAUAGUGCACCAGUACCGUGAGGGAAAGGUGAAAAGCACCCCGGAAGGGGAGUGAAAGAGGACCUGAAACCGCGUGCCUACAAGAAGUCGGAGCCCCCAUUUGGGGGUGACGGCGUGCCUUUUGAUUAAUGAGCCCGCGAGUUGCCGUCGGUGGCGAGGUUAAGCCGAUGAAGGCGUAGCCGCAGCGAAAGCGAGUCCGAACAGGGCGUUCAGUCACCGGCGGCAGACCCGAAGCCGGGUGAGCUACCCCUGGGCAGGGUGAAGGUGGGUUAAAACCCACUGGAGGCCCGAACCGGUGGACAGUGAAAAGUCCUCGGAUGACCUGGGGGUAGGAGUGAAAAGCUAACCGAACCCGGUGAUAGCUGGUUCUCCCCGAAAUGCAUUGAGGUGCAGCCUCGGGCGGUCUGUGCAGGGGGUAGAGCACUGAUGGGGCUAGGGGGGUUUCCUCCGAACCCCGUCAAACUCCGAAUUCCUGCACACAAAGCCCGGGAGUGAGCCCGCGGGGGAUAAGCUCCGCGGACGAGAGGGGAACAACCCAGACCGCCGGCUAAGGGCCCGAAGAGGUGGCUAAGUGGUAAAGGAUGUGGAGUGCCUAAGACAGCUGGGAUGUUGGCUUAGAAGCAGCCAUCAUUUAAAGAGUGCGUAACAGCUCACCAGCCGAGGCGCUCUGCACCGAAAAUGUAACGGGGCUCAAGCCACCCCCCGAAGCCGCGGGUCAGUGCCUCCGGGAGGUACUGGCGGUAGGGGAGCUUUCCGCUGUAGGGUGAAGGCGGACCCGCGAGGGCCGCUGGACGAGGCGGAAGUGAGAAUGCGGGCAUGAGUAUACGAAAGGAGGGUGAGAAUCCCUCCCCCCGUAAGCCCAAGGGUACCUGGGGAAGGGUCGUCCGCCCAGGGUUAGCCGGGACCCUAAGGUGAACCCGAAAGGGGUAGCCGAAGGGAAGCCGGUUAAUAUUCCGGCGCCAUCUGCGGUCGAUGGUACGAGGGGUGACGCAGGAGGGUAGGCGCCGGGGGCAAGUGGCAUGCCCCUCCAAGCGGUUAGGGCGAUGACGGGCGUAGGUAAAUCCGCGCCCCGAGCCUGAGCCGUGAUGGGGAGGUCCCUUCGGGGACCAACGGCGCUGACCCCACACUGCCGAGAAAAACCUCGCGUACCGCUUGAGACCGUAGGUGCCCGUUCCGCAAACCGACACAGGUGGGCGGGCUGAGAAGGCUCAGGGGAGCGGGUGAACCCUCGCCAAGGAACUCGGCAAAUUGGCCCCGUAACUUCGGGAGAAGGGGUGCCGCGUUAGGGUGAACCCAGGGGAAGGGGCAACCCGGAAACUGGGGGAGCCCGAGGCGGUCGCAGUGACAAGGCCCUGGCGACUGUUUACCAAAAACACAGGUCUCUGCUAACUCGGAAAGAGGAAGUAUAGGGACUGACGCCUGCCCAGUGCCGGAAGGUUAAGGGGAGGGGUGAGGCUCCUCUUGUGGGAGCGUAGCUCCGACCCGAAGCCCCGGUAAACGGCGGCCGUAACUAUAACGGAAGGUGAGCGAAAUUCCUUGUCGGGUAAGUUCCGACCUGCAUGAAUGGCGUAACGACUGGGGCACUGUCUCGGCGGGGGGCCCGGUGAAAUUUCAGUCUGGGUGAAGAUGCCCAGUACCCGCGGCUAGACGGAAAGACCCCGUGGAGCUUUACUGCAGCCUGGUAUUGGGCUCCGGUGCAUCGUGUAUAGAAUAGGUGGGAGGCUGUGAAGCCGCCUCGCCAGGGGCGGUGGAGCCGCCAGUGGAAUACCACCCUCGGUGCACUGGAGUUCUAACCUGACCCUGUGAAGAGCAGGGUGGGGACAGUGCCAGGUGGGCAGUUUGACUGGGGCGGUCACCUCCUAAAAGGUAACGGAGGUGUGCAAAGGUCGGCUCAGGUGGGUUGGAAAUCCACCGCAGAGUGCAAGGGCAUAAGCCGGCCUGACUGCGAGGCCGACAGGCCGAGCAGGGGGGAAACCCGGCCCUAGUGACCCGGCGGUCCCGUGUGGAAGGGCCGUCGAUCAACGGAUAAAAGUUACCCCGGGGAUAACAGGCUGGUCCCGCCCGAGAGUUCACAUCGACGGCGGGGUUCGGCACCUCGAUGUCGGCUCAUCCCAUCCUGGGGCUGAAGCAGGUCCCAAGGGUUGGGCUGUUCGCCCAUUAAAGGGGUACGUGAGCUGGGUUCAGACCGUCGUGAGACAGGUCGGUCCCUAUCUGCCGCGGGCGUAGGAGGCUUGAGGGGGGUCCUCCCUUGUACGAGAGGACCGGGAGGAGGGGGCCUCUGGUGUACCGGCUGUCGCGCCAGCGGCAUACGCCGGGUAGCUAUGCCCCUAAGCGAUAACCGCUGAAAGCAUCUAAGCGGGAAGCGCGCCCCAAGAUUAGGCCUCCCAUCCCGUUAAGGGAGUAAGGCCGGUCCGAGAAGAGGACCUUGAUAGGCCAGGGGUGUAAGCGCCGCAAGGCGUUGAGCCCACUGGUACUAAUCGGCCGAGGCCUUGACCUC